UAAGCCAUGGGCACUACUCCAAGCCCGACUUAGCCAGGGCCAAACACCAGGGCUGGUGAAUUCCGUGCCAGCCACCGCGGUUAUACGGAAAGCCCAAAAUAACACCCCCCGGCGUAAACUGUGACUAGAGCCAAAUUUCCACUAAAACUGAAGCCCCUGACCCCCGUAUAGUUGUAAAACACAAAUACACAUGGGCACCCCGCCAGGACUUCCAUAUAAAUUGCCUUGACCUCACGAAACCUGAGACAUAAACUAGGAUUAGAUACCCUACUAUACUCAGCCGUAAACCAAGAUGGACCUUGUACCACACACCAUCCGCCAGAGAACUACAAGCGAAAAGCUUCAAACUCAAAGGACUUGACGGUGUUCCACACCAACCUAGAGGAGCCUGUCUAAUAAUCGAUACUCCACGCUAAACCUCACCCCCCCUUGCAAACCCACAGCCUGUAUACCGCCGUCGCCAGCCUGCCUAAUGAUAGCCCACAAAGCAGACAAAAUAGUAAGACCACUAGAACGUCAGGUCAAGGUGCAGCCAAUGAGCGGGGACCCAGAUGGGCUACAUUUUCUAACAACCAGAAAACCAACUAUAGACUACAUGAAACCUUAGCCAAACGGCGGAUUUAGCAGUAAAUUUUCGGCAAGAAAUGCCAAAUUGAAACCUGCCCUGGAACGCGUACACACCGCCCGUCACCCUCCUCAACAGACACACUCCAAAUAACUCAAACCGCAAAUAACCACAAGACGAGGAAAGUCGUAACAUGGUAAGCCCACCGGAAGGUGGGCUUGGAAAAUCAGGGAGUAGCUAACCACCAAAGCACCCAGCCUACAAUUGGAAGAUGUUGACCACAACCCCCCUGAGCUAAAUAGUUAGCCGCCUCAUACCUACAAACACCCCCCCCCGAAAAAACUAAACCAUUCGCUCCACUAAGUAUAUGUGAUAGAAAUCUACCCCUCGCGCAAUAGCUAAGAGUACCAUACGGGAACACUGAAAGAAAACUAAACAUUUUAAGCACAAAACAGCAGGGAUUGCCCCCCGUACCUCUUGCAUCAUGGUCUAACAAGCACCCCCAGAUAAAGAGCCCUACAACCUGCCCCCCCGAACCCAGACGAUCUA
This 1114-nucleotide ribosomal RNA is filed under the name Phyllodactylus hispaniolae (Dominican leaf-toed gecko). Its description in RNAcentral is "partial 12S ribosomal RNA". The stretch from base 1 to 799 matches the Rfam family "Bacterial small subunit ribosomal RNA", at positions 365 to 1533 of the family's 1533-position model. The record is from RNAcentral. Lineage: Eukaryota; Metazoa; Chordata; Lepidosauria; Squamata; Phyllodactylidae.